GUCGGAUAAUCGCGCCAAUGGAUUUGUGAAUGCGCCGGAGGUGAGGAAAGUCCGUGCAUCCCAGAACAGGCAUCCGGAGAAACUCCGGGCGGCGUGAGCCGGCGGAUAGUGCCACAGAAAUGUAGACUGCUAACUGACCGAAUAGGAUAUAGACAACUUUGAAAAAGGUUGUUUUUCGGUAAAGAGCGAUGGUGCAACGGUGAGGUAAGAGCAUCACCGGUGAUAUCGGAAGGUAUCAGCCAGGUAAACCCAUGUCGGAUGCAAGGUUGAGUUCAGGGCUAUAAAGGUUGUUCGCCCACCUGAGAAAAAACCGCUUGAGCUUGAGAGCAAUCUCAAGACCAGACAGAUGAUUAUCUAAAACAGAACACGGCUUACGGGCUGCUUUA
RNAcentral lists this RNase P RNA (386 nucleotides) under bovine gut metagenome. RNAcentral describes it as "Bacterial RNase P class A". It matches the Rfam family "Bacterial RNase P class A". Rfam says of the family: Ribonuclease P (RNase P) is a ubiquitous endoribonuclease, found in archaea, bacteria and eukarya as well as chloroplasts and mitochondria. Its best characterised activity is the generation of mature 5'-ends of tRNAs by cleaving the 5'-leader elements of precursor-tRNAs. Cellular RNase Ps are ribonucleoproteins. The record is from RNAcentral.